CAAAUUUCAGGUCAAUAAGACACACGGUUUGUGAGCUACAGGUGAUUUAAAAUCCUGGACAGACAAAUGAACAGCCACGCUAGUGUAUUAUACAGCAUAUAAAGAUAAAAAAUUGGGAGAAUGUGCUGUUAGCACGUUGCCGCACCCACCACAUGCCGAACCACCUGGAUUGGGACCUGUGUGCAGUGGGUGACACCUCAAGAUGGCACUGAAAUUCAGUGAAUCCAUGGAAAUGCUCCACAAUAUCUGAAGGAACUCCUUAUACUACAAACCACUGCAAGAAACCUCCGUUUUGCAAAUACCUACCGCCUUCACCCCCCGAUGACCAAACUUACAUACAAUGGAUGACCGAGCCUUUGCAGCCGCUGCUCCACGGCUUUGGAAUGCCUUACCAGAGAGCCU
This is a long non-coding RNA of Polypterus senegalus (gray bichir), 402 nucleotides long. RefSeq lists it as uncharacterized. The transcript has 3 exons. NCBI's taxonomy places the organism in Eukaryota, Metazoa, Chordata, Cladistia, Polypteriformes, Polypteridae. The record is from RefSeq and is a predicted model, not a curated record.